RNAcentral lists this ribosomal RNA (465 nucleotides) under uncultured bacterium. RNAcentral's name for it is "partial 16S ribosomal RNA". It matches the Rfam family "Bacterial small subunit ribosomal RNA", at positions 339 to 795 of the family's 1533-position model. The record is from RNAcentral.
CUACGAGGGGCUCCAGUGGGGAAUAUUGCGCAAUGGGCGAAAGCCUGAUGCAGCAACGCCGUGUGAGGGAUGAAGGCUUUCGGGUCGUAAACCUCUGUCAGAAGGGAAGAACGGGUAUUGGUCUAAUAGGCCUUUAUUUUGACGGUACCUUCAGAGGAAGCACCGGCUAACUCCGUGCCAGCAGCCGCGGUAAUACGGAGGGUGCAAGCGUUAUUCGGAAUUACUGGGCGUAAAGCGCACGUAGGCCGCUUUGUAAGUCAGGGGUGAAAUCCCACGGCUCAACCGUGGAACUGCCUUUGAAACUGCAGAGCUUGAAUCCUGGAGAGGGUGGCGGAAUUCCUGGUGUAGGAGUGAAAUCCGUAGAUAUCAGGAGGAACACCGGUGGCGAAGGCGGCCACCUGGACAGGUAUUGACGCUGAGGUGCGAAAGUGUGGGGAGCAAACAGGAUUAGAUACCCCCGUAGUC